CUGGCAUAUGCUUGACUUAGUACAAGCAUUUUCUUAUGUAACCUGAUUUUAUAGCACGCUUAACCUCUCACUUGUGUGUCAGUCGCAUAUAUAAACAACUAUAUGGCAAUGUUUGGCUCACAAAAAUGAGAAAACACAUACCAUAGAGCAAAGUAUAAAACGACCAAGUGUGACGACACCUUGAAUUACAUUGAGAAUUUAGUAAGACAACAAUACGACAGGAAGAGCAGAUAACAGCCGAAGGCCGUCAAUGGGUCUUAACAAAGCUAGAAAACCCCACUCCCGGUGAUAACAGUUUUUUGGUAAGGUUCGUGUUGCUUUAUCUUUAGUUGUAUAUGUUGAUUCGAGCGUCACUGAUGAGUCUUUUGUAGACGAAACGCGCGUCUGGCGUAAAUAUUAAAUUUCAUUCCUGGUAUCUAUGAUGAGUUUAUUUGUGUGUUGUGUACUUUUACUUGCCCCAUCUUUCAUACAUCCUAGAAACACAGUUUUAAGAAUUGAAAUUGUUAGCUUCAAAACAUUUCCAUCCACUAUCAUCUGAUGAAGGUUAUUAUUCACAGUCGAUCUAAACAUGGGAUUAUGGGUAACAUGGGAUUUUGGGUAACAUGGAAUUAUGGGCAUGAAACACGUGACUUCCGGUGGUGGUUGACACAUUUUUUUGGUGCAGGGAAUAUUCUAUGAUUUUUGUGUUGUAUAGUGUGCAAUUGAACAAAAAAAAAACAAUUAUGAAAAACUACAAAACAAGCCAAUAUAUAUACAUUUUUUAUCUGAAAUAGAAGCAGUUGAGACGAAUAUCACACAACUCAAUUUGACUUUCGCGGGGUCCGUGCACUUCCUGUCCGCGAACUUCAAAAAAACUUAAAGUUACUUCGUACUUUGAUUACAAUACCAUAAACAGAAACAUAUAUAUUCUAUAUUAUAUCUCAACAUACAUGUUAAUUCAAAGAAAAUUAACCAAAUUUCUGCAAAGGAGCAGGCUUGCCCCCC
RNAcentral lists this long non-coding RNA (984 nucleotides) under Mytilus galloprovincialis (Mediterranean mussel). Lineage: Eukaryota; Metazoa; Mollusca; Bivalvia; Mytilida; Mytilidae. The record is from RNAcentral.